This 1713-nucleotide long non-coding RNA is filed under the name Homo sapiens (human). RNAcentral's name for it is "HSALNT0283773". Lineage: Eukaryota; Metazoa; Chordata; Mammalia; Primates; Hominidae. The record is from RNAcentral.
GAGGUUAGAAAAUCUACCCUAGGGCGUGAGCCACCACGCUGGACUGAAAUAAUUAUAAAUUCACAGGAAUUUGGAGAGAUAGUAGAAAGGUACUGUAUGCCCUCCACCCAGUUUCCCCCAAUGGCUACAUCUUAUGUAACUAUAAUACAAUAUCAUAACCAGGAAAUUGAUAUUGGUACAAUGUGUGUGUGGUAGUUCUAUGCUGUUUUAUCGUGUUUAAAUCCUUACAGCCACCGUAGCUAUGAAGAUGCAGAACUAUUCCAUCAUCCUCAAAGAUCUCCCUCACCUACCAAUUUAUAUUCAUACUCAUACCUGCUUCACCCCCACCACUUCCCAACCCCUGGCAAUCACAAAUUCCUCCAUCUCUAUCAUUUUGUCAUUCUGAGAAUGUUAUAUAAAAGGAAUCAUACACUCUGUGACUUGUUAAGACUGGCUUUUUGUCAUUAGCCUAAUGCCCUUGAGACCCAUCCAAGUUGUUGCAUGUAUCAAUAGUCUGUUCCUUUUUAAAGCUGAGUAGUGUUUCAUUGUGUGUAUGUACCACAAUAUUUAACCAUUCACCUAUUACAGGACUUUAUGGUUGCUUCCAGAUUUUUGAUAUUACAAAUAAUUCCAUGAAUAAUCAUGUAGAGGUUUUGUGUGGACAUAUGUUUUUACUCCUCAGAGAUAAAUGCCCAGGAGUACAGUUUUGGGUUGUGUGGUAAUACAUAAUUACCUUUUUAAAAGCCUGUCAAACUAUUUUCUACAGUGGCUGUAACAUUUUACAUUCCCACAGCAAUGUAUGAAAGAGACAAUUUCUCCAUGAUCUCACCAGCAUUUGGUAUUAUUUGGUAAUAUUUUAUAACCAUUAUUUAGCUAUUCUAAUGAAUGUGUAGUAACCUUCAUUUGCAUUUCCCUAAUGCAAGUAAUGUUGAACUUUUUCUUUUCUUUUUUCUUUCUUUUUUUUCUGUUCUUUUCUUUUCCUGUUCUUUUCUUUUCUUUUAUUGAGACAGGGUCUCACUCUAUCCAUCACCCAGGCUGGAGUGCAGUGGCACGAUUAUGGAUCACUGCAGCCUUGAGUUCCCAGGCUCAAGUGAUCCUCUUGGGAGGGGGUUUCACCUUGUUGCCCAGGCUGGUCUUGAAUUCCCGGGCUCAAACAAUCCUCCCACCUCAGCUUCCCAAAGUGCUGGUAUUACAGGUGUGAGCCACUGUGCCCAGCCUUGAACAUCUUUUCAUGUGAUUAUGUGCCAUACAUAUAUUGUCUUUAAUGAAAUGUCUCUUUAUGUCUUUUGCCCACUUUUAAAUUGGGUUAUUUGAGGUUUUUCCAUUUUUUUUUAAUAUUCUGGAUAUGAGUUUUUUGUUAGGUAUGUGAUUUGCAAAUAUUUUCUCCAAGUGUAGCUUGUCUUUUUAUCAUCUUAACAAAUUGCGCCCCCUCCCCGUCCCCCUCUCCCUCUCCCUCUCCCCACGGUCUCCCUCUCUUUCCACGGUCUCCCUCUGAUGCCGAGCGGAAGCUGGACUGUACUGCCGCCAUCUCGGCUCACUGCAAUCUCCCUGCCUGAUUCUCCUGCCUCAGCCUGCCGAGUGUCUGCGAUUGCAGGCGCGCGCCACCACGCCUGACUGGUUUUCGUAUUUUUUUGGUGGAGAUGGGGUUUUGCUGUGUUGGCAGGGCUGGUCUCCAGCUCCUAACCGCGAGUGAUCCGCCAGCCUCGGCCUCCCGAGGUGCCGGGAUUGCAGACG